Molecule: long non-coding RNA, 378 nt
Filed under: Homo sapiens (human)
Lineage: Eukaryota; Metazoa; Chordata; Mammalia; Primates; Hominidae
Description: HSALNT0295175
Source: RNAcentral
CCGUCCGGGAGGGAGGUGGGGGGGUCAGCCCCCCACCCGGCCAGCCGCCCCGUCCGGGAGGUGAGGGGCGCCUCUGCCCGGCCGCCCCUACUGGGAAUUGAGGAGCCCCUCUGCCCGGCCACCACCCCGUCUGGGAGGUGUACUCAACAGCUCAUUGAGAACGGGCCAUGAUGACAAUGGCCGUUUUGUGGAAUAGAAAGGGGGGUAAGGUGGGGAAAAGAUUGAGAAAUCGGAUGGUUGCCAUGUCUGUGUAGAAAGAGGUAGACAUGGGAGACUUUUCAUUUUGUUCUGUACUAAGAAAAAUUCUUCUGCCUUGGGAUCCUGUUGAUCUGUGACCUUACCCCCAACCCUGUGCUCUCUGAAACAUGUGCUGUGUCC